GGGAGGGGAGAGGGCUGUGGGACGAGCGCAACAGCGGGGGGAACUUCACCGACUGGGAGGCGCUGGCCAAGGACCUCCUGAAACCGUACGACGAGCAGCUGUACCACUCCUUCACCAUCGGCGUCUCCCCGGACACUGACACGAAGGUCUGGACGUUUUGGAAAGCGAUGUUCUUUUGUUCGACCAUCACCACGACUAUCGGUGAGUUGCUGUAUGUUUUUAUUUUAUUUUAUUUUUAUUUUGUUUUAGUGUGGGUGUCGUUUAUAUUUUUCGUCCGUUUUAUUCAAGGGGUGUUUAUAUUUUUUGUCUUUAUUUUGCUGUUGUUGUUGUUGAUUUUAUAAGGUGGUUUUCGUUGCUUUUUUUCAUGAAUUCUGGUGAAAUUUAUCUUUUAUUUCUUUAUUGCCUUUUUAUCAUCCACGAAAAGAAACGAAAGAAAGAAAACUUUCACUUUUCGAGCGAAAAAAUAUCCAGGUUUCACUAUAUCGCAAAGAAUAUCAAAGUACCUUUUAUCAUGCGAAAAAAUAAUGAAUACAUUUUAAGAGUUCACGAGCACACGAAUCAUUAAUAUGAUAUU
This 574-nucleotide unclassified non-coding RNA is filed under the name Penaeus monodon (black tiger shrimp). RNAcentral describes it as "tWiK family of potassium channels protein 7-like, transcript variant X1". Lineage: Eukaryota; Metazoa; Arthropoda; Malacostraca; Decapoda; Penaeidae. The record is from RNAcentral.